UCUCACUGCAGAGCAAAUCCUCUUUAUCUGCAUUCGUGGCCAUGGAAAAGCGAUUGUCAUGUGGGGCUCUGUGCCUGCAAUAUCCCUGUCUGCACUGGGCGUUACUGCCCCUACGGAGGGCCUUGGCCUGUCCCAGCGCCAGGGUCAGCAGCACGGCGAGGGCAGGCGCUCGCUUGGGUUUGCGGCAUUUCCCCUCUCCGAACCCGCACCGAUCCGUGGCUCGGCAGAAGGGUGUGGGGUUCUGGCUUUGGGGUUUACGGCAAAGGUCUCCCUCGCCUCCACAGCUGAGUGGCAAAUUCAGACUAAGCUGAUGUUCUCUGGACACAUACAUGCAGCAGUGCCGUGACACAGCCGAGGACUGCAGGCUUGCAGUAGGUACUGCCCGCGAGUCGUAGGGGAUGUUGCUUACAGGUGCUGUGCUCAGAAUGGCCCCGUUCUUUGUCCUUAAACUAUUAAGUGGUUUUUCUUAUUUCCAGUUCUUCCUUUCCCCGUCGUCACGAUAACAAACUUCCUUUUGCUCGACCUGGAGUCAAUACCAGAGCAUGUGUUAGUGCGCGCUGCCAGUAGUCGUUACAGGAUAGCCGUGCGUAUUGAGGCAUCGAUUCGCUUUAUUAACGUGAACAUCAACAGCAUUGCGGAUACCUAACUCUGCCCCACAAGGACCUGGUACAAAAGGAACAAGAGGUCGCUAAAAAAUUCAGCAGGGCUUCAAGAAGCAAUUCAUUGACACAAGCAGCAGCCGCUUCUAAGGAUUUGAUGAAUUCU
This is a long non-coding RNA of Cygnus olor (mute swan), 765 nucleotides long. RefSeq lists it as uncharacterized. The transcript is spliced from 2 exons. Lineage: Eukaryota; Metazoa; Chordata; Aves; Anseriformes; Anatidae. The record is from RefSeq and is a predicted model, not a curated record.